GCCGGGAUGGCGGAAUCGGUAGACGCACUGGAUUCAAAAUCCAGCGCCCUUAAAAGCGUGCGGGUUCGAGUCCCGCUCCCGGCACCA
RNAcentral lists this transfer RNA (87 nucleotides) under Thiomonas intermedia K12. Its description in RNAcentral is "tRNA-Leu (CAA) (tRNA-Leu-CAA-1-1)". It matches the Rfam family "tRNA". From Rfam's summary of the family: Transfer RNA (tRNA) molecules are approximately 80 nucleotides in length. Their secondary structure includes four short double-helical elements and three loops (D, anti-codon, and T loops). Further hydrogen bonds mediate the characteristic L-shaped molecular structure. tRNAs have two regions of fundamental functional importance: the anti-codon, which is responsible for specific mRNA codon recognition, and the 3' end, to which the tRNAs corresponding amino acid is attached (by aminoacyl-tRNA synthetases). tRNAs cope with the degeneracy of the genetic code in two manners: having more than one tRNA (with a specific anti-codon) for a particular amino acid; and 'wobble' base-pairing, i.e. permitting non-standard base-pairing at the 3rd anti-codon position. RNAcentral also lists the same sequence under 15 other names. The record is from RNAcentral. Lineage: Bacteria; Pseudomonadati; Pseudomonadota; Betaproteobacteria; Burkholderiales.